GACGAACGCUGGCGGCGUGCCUAAUACAUGCAAGUUGAGCGCUGAAGGUUGGUACUUGUACCGACUGGAUGAGCAGCGAACGGGUGAGUAACGCGUGGGGAAUCUGCCUUUGAGCGGGGGACAACAUUUGGAAACGAAUGCUAAUACCGCAUAAAAACUUUAAACACAAGUUUUAAGUUUGAAAGAUGCAAUUGCAUCACUCAAAGAUGAUCCCGCGUUGUAUUAGCUAGUUGGUGAGGUAAAGGCUCACCAAGGCGAUGAUACAUAGCCGACCUGAGAGGGUGAUCGGCCACAUUGGGACUGAGACACGGCCCAAACUCCUACGGGAGGCAGCAGGAGGGAAUCUUCGGCAAUGGACGAAAGUCUGACCGAGCAACGCCGCGGGAGUGAAGAAGGGUGUCGGAUCGUAAAACUCGGUUGGUAGAGAAGAACGUUGGUGAGAGUGGAAAGCUCAUCAAGUGACGGUAACUACCCAGAAAGGGACGGCUAACUACGUG
This 497-nucleotide ribosomal RNA is filed under the name uncultured bacterium. RNAcentral's name for it is "partial 16S ribosomal RNA". It matches the Rfam family "Bacterial small subunit ribosomal RNA", at positions 28 to 507 of the family's 1533-position model. The record is from RNAcentral.